Micropterus salmoides (largemouth bass) is the source of this 1355-nucleotide long non-coding RNA. RefSeq lists it as uncharacterized. Lineage: Eukaryota; Metazoa; Chordata; Actinopteri; Centrarchiformes; Centrarchidae. The record is from RefSeq and is a predicted model, not a curated record. The transcript is spliced from 3 exons.
CCAACAGUUUCAGAGCGUUGUGUGGAGAGGGCCAGGCAGAGCGGGCGAUUGAAAAUCUGCAGGCCGGCUGAGAGCUGCUAAACCGGGGCUAGAGGAGCAGCGAGCAGCGCCCCAGCUUCGGACAAAUAAAUACCCGUGGUCGGACUGGACUUUGCUCGCAACUACGCCGUUUGGUCGACGGAGGAGCUCGGAGUAAACUGCUUUUAUUAAAUUAGCUUUUUACUUUAGUUUUUAGGAUUACAAAGUUGAUUUAUCUUCUGUCGAGCUUCUCAGCAGCUAGAUUCCGUGCACAACCGGUUCCGGUGUUGUUAACGUCGUUUGGCACUACUUCAUAUUUAUAUAAAAACCGGACAAAACUGGACAUUGCUGGGAGAAAAGAAAGCAACUGUGGGACCUGUUGAUGCCAACAAUCAAACUGGAGUCCAGGAUAACCAAACAGUGGGGAGACAUUGGAUUCCAAGGAGAUGACCCCAAGACUGACUUCAGAGGAAUGGGCAUGCUGGGCCUUAUCAACCUUGUGAGCAUGGCUUGUUCUCUAGACAUGCAGGAACAAAGGCGUCACUCUGGUCCUGCUGCUGGAACAUCCCAUCAGACACGGCCUCCUCGGCAGUUUGGGGAUCGGUGGCAUCUCUUAAAUGCAGGCUUGGCUCUGAUUUACCCUCCAUGUUGUGGUCCCUUCUGCCAGAGGAGAAAAGCUUUCCCACCUCUCCCAUUUCCAGCAGCAGACUGGUAACUGUUGCUGUGGCAUGAUAGAGCUCCUGUUCUGCAACAUCCUCACUGAACAUGCUGUACAGGGUCUUGCAAAGUUCGAUAAACUGGCUCUGGAGGAGGAAAUAAAACGUAAGAUGUCAGUUGUACUCUAUUGUAACUACUGAGUUUCUUAGACACGUUCUACAAAUAAAAACCAAUGCAGAGGGUGAAGUCUUACCUGAUUCAGCUUGGGGAGGUCUUUUGUGUUUUCUCUCUUAGGUUUUGUCUCCUGGUUCCACAGUUUCAGGUAAUGGCGAUAUUCAGGAGUGUUCAGUUUCUUCACUGUAACAUGUACAUAGAAUGUUUUAUUAACAUUAAGUAAUUUGGUCACAAACUUAUAUUUUGGUUUAAAAAAAAAAAAGCACGAAGAUGCAACCAAUGUCUGCAUGUUUUUGUAUUGCGAUUAAAGACAAGAUCUUUUCCGCGGUAAAUACAAACUACGGAUUGACUUCAGUAUUUUGCCAAAUAGCUACAGCUUGUUUGUGCUAGCACCAUGUAUAUUUUCUGUAUUCACAUGUUUCUUCAGAUGUUCCAGAGGAAAUAAGACCCUUUACCACCACGAUCAAUCGCAUUCAGUCAGUGAAAAAAUAAAAAAUAGACGACAA